UGCUCAUCGAGAGGGACUGAGGGAACGGCCCAGUGAAGUCCCGGCAACCGACCGCGAGCCUCCUCCCGACCACGGGCAGGGCGCGGAGCAGGUGCUAAUUCCGGCCCGGCGCGAGAGACGUGAUCGGGGAAGAUGAGGA
Molecule: non-coding RNA, 139 nt
Filed under: Nocardioides luteus
Lineage: Bacteria; Bacillati; Actinomycetota; Actinomycetes; Propionibacteriales; Nocardioidaceae
Description: SAM-I sequence
Rfam family: SAM riboswitch aptamer (S box leader)
About the family: The SAM riboswitch is found upstream of a number of genes which code for proteins involved in methionine or cysteine biosynthesis in Gram-positive bacteria. The SAM riboswitch acts at the level of transcription termination control.
Source: Rfam by way of RNAcentral